Molecule: RNA transcript, 3209 nt
Organism: Cynoglossus semilaevis (tongue sole)
Lineage: Eukaryota; Metazoa; Chordata; Actinopteri; Pleuronectiformes; Cynoglossidae
Gene: dmpk
Gene name: DM1 protein kinase
Exons: 17
Source: RefSeq, a predicted model, not a curated record
UCACUCACAAAGUCACAGCAGAAAGAGAGGGGGGGGGCGAGAGACAGAGACCAGAGUGUGAGUGAGAGAGCACAGGAUUGGACCGAUGGAGAGAGAGGACUUUAACCAACGUAAAGCCCGUCUUUGCUGCAUCUUUGGAGGGAAGAUAUGAUGCUCGGAGAGUGACGAAGAGUUUCAACAGUUUCUGGUGUUCAACGGAUUUCAGAGCAGACUGAAUGUUAGAGUGUGAGCUCCUUCUGAGUCACGGCAGUAGUUCCUGUUUGCUUUGUGAGUAAAGAAAAAGAGGAAGAUAUGCAAACAUGGAAAGGUAAUAAAACAGAGUUACCAGUAAAGGUAAUAGGAAAAUAGGAACUGUCUCAGAGCACACACACACACACACACACACACACACCACCAUCAGGUCCCAUUGUUAUAGUAGAAAGUUUGUUGUACUUUGAAUAGAGGGAGUGGAAAGAGUCAGAGAAAGAGAGAGAGUGAAAGGGAGAGAGAGAGAGAAAAAGAGAGAGAGAGACUUAAACACCAAAAAAGGUCUUGAGUCCGAGCUGGAGAAAGUGCAGGCUUGACAGAUGCUGCACAGCCAUGGGGAGCCACAGUAGAAGGGCAGCGACGGCAGCGACAGAGAUGGACAGACAGAGGGACGGGGGAAGUGACUCAUAAAGACAAAAGGAGGGAGGAAAAAGUGUGACAACAGAAGAGGAAAUGUGAUCUGUACGAAGAGGAUGUUGACACAGAAAACACACAGUCUCCCGUACAGGCAGCAGGUAUAGAGAAAAGGGCAGGACCAGAGGGGCAGGGUGGGGUCAGGUGCCAACACACAGACCCCGUGUGUGUCUGUGAGCGUGCGUGCAGCCAGAAGGAGUGUGACUGUAAAUGUGACUCUCCAAGGGAAACCAAACAGUGAGGUAACAGCUGAUCCACCUUGGCCUGCAGUCAGUUCAACGAUCCAUGGACACAAGUGUUGGGUUAAAGCGCUGAACCAACACGUACCCACUGGCCCUCAUGUCGACUGGUCCCGGCCGUGGGGCCCCUGGCCUGGCAGAGGGCCCCCAGACGACGGGACCUGUCGGUCUGCAGACCCUUCUGGACCUGCUGGUGGGCGUCUACCAGGAGUUCUGUUCCUCACCCUUUGCACAGGAGAAAUAUGUCUGUGGUUUUCUGCAGUGGGCUGAACCUUUGGUGAGGCAGGUAAAGAGGACCCGGAUCAAAAGAGAAGACUUUCACAUUCUCAAGGUGAUUGGCCGAGGAACGUUCAGUGAGGUCGCCGUGGCCAGGAUGCGAAGCACGCAACAAGUGUACGCUCUGAAGAUUAUGAACAAGUGGGACAUGCUGAGGAGAGGAGAGACAGCGUGUUACCAAGAGGAGAGGGAGGUUCUACUGAAGGGCGACAGACGCUGGAUCACAGAAUUGCACUACGCCUUUCAGGACGACAACUAUCUGUACCUGGUGAUGGAUUACUACGUUGGGGGGGACCUGUUGACCUUGCUUAGUAAAUUUGGAGACAGGAUCCCUGAAGACAUGGCUCAGUUCUACUUGGCUGAGAUGGUCAUGGCCAUUGACUCUGUCCACAAACUGGGUUAUGUGCACAGAGACAUCAAACCUGACAACAUCCUGCUGACUGCUGAUGGACACAUCAGACUGGGGGACUUUGGUUCCUGUCUCAGGCUGCUGGAUGAUGGGAUGGUUCACUCAUCACUAGCUGUCGGAACUCCAGACUAUUUGUCUCCAGAGAUUCUAGCAGCGUUAGAAGGAGGGGUGGGCUAUGGUCCUGAAUGUGACUGGUGGGCUCUGGGCGUCUGUGCCUAUGAGAUGAUGUUCGGAACCACACCCUUCUACGCCGAGUCCCUCUCAGAAACCUAUGCCAAGAUCAUCCACUUUAAGGAAUAUUUUGAGUUCCCUCCAUCUGGACCUCAGAUAUCAGACAAGGCCCAUUCAUUCAUCGCCGGACUCAUCUGUGACAGGGAAAUCCGUCUGGGGAGAAAAGGUUUUGGCGACUUCAGGAGCCACCCGUUCUUCUCUGGACUAGACUGGGGUUCACUGCAUAAGAUCUCUGCCCCGUACCUACCUGACGUCUCUAAUCCAACAGAUACAUCCAACUUUGACAUCCUGGAUGACUGUCUCAGUGACGCAGAGACACUGUCGGAUGUACUGCACAGCGCACCAAUCGGAGUACACUUGGCUUUUGUGGGAUAUUCUUACACUGCCACUAGGCAGACUGGUGCCAUGGACCGCAGUCAAGACAUCAUGAUGCAGAUCGACUACACCAGGCUGAGGGAGUACGGUGGUUUGUACACAGCCCAGAAACUGAGCCAGCUGUUGCAUCUCACAGAUACCCUGCCAGACUCCCUGUCUGCUUUACUAGAGCCCCCGCUCACUGUGGGCCAAGGAUGUACCUGUUCCACGUCCACGCAAACUACCACUGAGGAGAUAGAGGAGGAGGAGGAGGAGGGAGGAGCGGAGCAGUUAUCAGUACUUGAUAAAGACCUGCAGCGCAGGCUGAAGGAAGCAGAGCAGAGACACUCUGAGCUGGAGAAGAAAAUGGAGAUGCUGAAGCAGGAGAUGCAGGAGUGGAGAGUCCCCACAGACACAGGCGAGGAUCAGUGUCGACUGUCAGACUUGAAUCUCUACCCAGUAUCCCUUACUCUGCCUGCUCACUGUGUGGAAGCACCCGGGGAUAGGAGGAGUGCGCCCCCAGCUUGUCAUUAUCCGUUGGUGAUUCAUCUUCACCGCCACCUGCUCCUGUUUCACAGGGUUCACCUCCCACGGGUGAUGAGUGAGUCGUACCUGCUGGUUUGUGCAGAAGGGGGGGAGGUGGAGGCCUGGGGGAGACGCUGUUCUAACGAACUGUCCUGAAUGCAUUUUCAGGAAGCACAUGCCUGGAACUUGUUCCAUAUCAGCAGGAUGACGGACUGACACUCUGCUCAUCCCUCUCUCUCUCUCUCUCCGUCCUGCUCAUCAGCCUAGAAAAAGUUCAGAGGAGGACAAGAAGUAAAACACGAGAACGAAAAAGACUCGGACAACAAUCUCAGGUACAAUUGUGGAACCCAGAGCCAGGGACGCGGUGGUGCUGGACCUGAUCCUUGUGGUCAUCUGGUGAAGGUAACAGUACCCAGUACAUCACUCACACUCAAAUCUAACACGUCCACCAUUAAGAUCUAACUUUGUUCCCAUAUUUUAUCUAACUUUUUAACCCUUUGAACCCCAAUAGAUGU